AGUGAACGCUGGCGGUAGGCCUAACACAUGCAAGUCGAACGGCAGCACAGUAAGAGCUUGCUCUUACGGGUGGCGAGUGGCGGACGGGUGAGGAAUACAUCGGAAUCUACUUUUUCGUGGGGGAUAACGUAGGGAAACUUACGCUAAUACCGCAUACGACCUACGGGUGAAAGCAGGGGAUCUUCGGACCUUGCGCGAUUGAAUGAGCCGAUGUCGGAUUAGCUAGUUGGCGGGGUAAAGGCCCACCAAGGCGACGAUCCGUAGCUGGUCUGAGAGGAUGAUCAGCCACACUGGAACUGAGACACGGUCCAGACUCCUACGGGAGGCAGCAGUGGGGAAUAUUGGACAAUGGGCGCAAGCCUGACCCAGCCAUACCGCGUGGGUGAAGAAGGCCUUCGGGCUGUAAAGCCCUUUUGUUGGGAAAGAAAAGCAGCAGGUUAAUACCCCGCUGUUCUGACGGUACCCAAAGAAUAAGCACCGGCUAACUUCGUG
This 492-nucleotide ribosomal RNA is filed under the name uncultured bacterium. RNAcentral describes it as "partial 16S ribosomal RNA". It matches the Rfam family "Bacterial small subunit ribosomal RNA", at positions 29 to 507 of the family's 1533-position model. The record is from RNAcentral.